This 406-nucleotide ribosomal RNA is filed under the name uncultured bacterium. RNAcentral's name for it is "partial 16S ribosomal RNA". It matches the Rfam family "Bacterial small subunit ribosomal RNA", at positions 29 to 526 of the family's 1533-position model. The record is from RNAcentral.
AUUGAACGCUGGCGGCAGGCCUAACACAUGCAAGUCGAACGAGUGGCGGACGGGUGAGUAAUGUCUGGGAAACUGCCCGAUGGAGGGGGCUAACUACUGGAAACGGUAGCUAAUACCGCAUACCAUCGGAUGUGCCCAGAUGGGAUUAGCGAGUAGGUGGGGUAACGGCUCACCUAGGCGACGAUCCCUAGCUGGUCUGAGAGGAAGACAAGCAACACUGGAACGUAGAAACGGUCCAGACACCUACGGUAGGCAGUGGUGGGGAUGAUUGCACAAGGGGGGCAAGCCUGAUGCAGCCAUGCCGGGUGUAUGAAGAGGGCCUUCGGGUUGGAAAGGACUUUCAGCGAUGAGGCGUUACUCGCAGAAGAAGCACCGGCUAACUCCGUGCCAGCAGCCGCGGUAAUUC